This 287-nucleotide ribosomal RNA is filed under the name uncultured bacterium. Its description in RNAcentral is "partial 16S ribosomal RNA". It matches the Rfam family "Bacterial small subunit ribosomal RNA", at positions 775 to 1067 of the family's 1533-position model. The record is from RNAcentral.
GGAUUAGAUACCCUGGUAGUCCACGCUGUAAACGAUGGUUACUAGCUGUUUGGUUUUCGGACUGAGUGGCUAAGCGAAAGUGAUAAGUAACCCACCUGGGGAGUACGAUCGCAAGAUUGAAACUCAAAGGAAUUGACGGGGGCCCGCACAAGCGGUGGAGCAUGUGGUUUAAUUCGAUGAUACGCGAGGAACCUUACCAGGGCUUAAAUGUAGAGUGACAGGGGCAGAGACGCCUUUUUCUUCGGACACUUUACAAGGUGCUGCAUGGUUGUCGUCAGCUCGUGCCG